This 519-nucleotide ribosomal RNA is filed under the name uncultured eukaryote. RNAcentral describes it as "SSU rRNA". It matches the Rfam family "Eukaryotic small subunit ribosomal RNA", at positions 1161 to 1699 of the family's 1831-position model. The record is from RNAcentral.
AGGGCACCACCAGGAGUGGAGCCUGCGGCUUAAUUUGACUCAACACGGGGAAACUUACCCGGCCUGGACACUGGAAGGAUUGACAGAUUGAGAGCUCUUUCUUGAUUCAGUGGGUGGUGGUGCAUGGCCGUUCUUAGUUGGUGGAGCGAUUUGUCUGGUUAAUUCCGAUAACGAACGAGACUCUAGCCUAUUAAAUAGGCUCUCGGCUUUUAAACGCCGGGAGGACUUCUUAGAGGGACAGGUGGCGGUUCAGCCGCACGAAAGAGAGCAAUAACAGGUCUGUGAUGCCCUUUGUUGUCCGGGGCCGCACGCGCGCUACACUGAAGAGAUCAGCGUGCUUUACGUUCCUGCUCCGACCGGAGUGGGGAACCCAGUGAACCUUCUUCGUGAUUGGGAUAGAAGAUUGUAAUUAUUCUUCUUGAACGAGGAAUUCCCAGUAAAUGCGAGUCAUAAGCUCGCGUUGAUUACGUCCCUGCCCUUUGUACACACCGCCCGUCGCUAUUACCGAUUGAACGAUUU